CGGACGGGUGAGUAACGCGUGAACAACCUACCCUUGAGUGGGGAAUAACACCGCGAAAGCGGUGCUAAUACCGCAUAAAAUCUCCGGGUCGCAUGACGUGGAGAUCAAAAGCGCAAGUUGCUUGAGGAGGGGUUCGCGGCUGAUUAGCUAGUUGGUGAGGUAACGGCCCACCAAGGCAACGAUCAGUAGCCGGCCUGAGAGGGCGAACGGCCACACUGGAACUGGGACACGGUCCAGACUCCUACGGGAGGCAGCAGUGGGGAAUUUUGCGCAAUGGGCGAAAGCCUGACGCAGCAACGCCGCGUGGAGGAUGAAGGCCUUCGGGUCGUAAACUCCUGUCGAUGGGGACGAAGGCCUCGCAAGAGGAUUGACUGUACCCGUUGAGGAAGCCACGGCUAACUCCGUGCCAGCAGCCGCGGUAAUACGGGGGUGGCAAGCGUUGUUCGGAAUUACUGGGCGUAAAGGGCGCGUAGGCGGCAUAACAAGUCAGAUGUGAAAGCCCCGAGCUCAACUCGGGAACUGCAUCUGAAACUGUAUUGCUUGAGCUCUGGAGGGGGUAGUGGAAUUCCCAGUGUAGCGGUGAAAUGCGUAGAUAUUGGGAGGAACACCUGCGGCGAANGCGGCUACCUGGACAGUGACUGACGCUGAGGCGCGAAAGCUAGGGGAGCGAAUGGGAUUAGAUACCCCAGUAGUC
This 694-nucleotide ribosomal RNA is filed under the name uncultured Acidobacteriota bacterium. Its description in RNAcentral is "bacterial SSU rRNA". It matches the Rfam family "Bacterial small subunit ribosomal RNA", at positions 99 to 795 of the family's 1533-position model. The record is from RNAcentral. Lineage: Bacteria; Pseudomonadati; Acidobacteriota.